Molecule: long non-coding RNA, 423 nt
Organism: Fukomys damarensis (Damara mole-rat)
Lineage: Eukaryota; Metazoa; Chordata; Mammalia; Rodentia; Bathyergidae
Exons: 3
Source: RefSeq, a predicted model, not a curated record
GUCCCAAGGCAGGGAGGAGGGGGAAGGGGGACCACCCAGAAUCACUUGACUUUACACAAGUGGAACCAGCUCAACAGCAAAACGUGCACUUCAGAGGAGCUUCUAUCUGGAAAGAAUGACUUUGAACAUCUUCAGAUGACCUCAGAAAGCUGUCCUCCCUCAGUCCUCAUCCUGUGGGGUCUGUUACGAAUAUUGUCAGCCCACCUCUUUGCCCCAUGGCAUUAUUCUUCUACGCACAUCUGAAUGGUAACACUAAAACUAAAAAUUAAGAUAUCUAGCAGAGUCCAUAGGCUGUUCACCAGUGUGCUUCCCAGAUUGUCUAAUAAGCUCUCAGAAACCAGGGCAGGAUGAAAAGCAUUGAAGACACUGCUGAAACCCAAUUUCCUGAGGAGAUUUGCUGAGAUCUUGGCUGCAAAGGCUGGA